Molecule: non-coding RNA, 1332 nt
Organism: Paramisgurnus dabryanus
Lineage: Eukaryota; Metazoa; Chordata; Actinopteri; Cypriniformes; Cobitidae
Source: RefSeq, a predicted model, not a curated record
ACCAAUACUGAAGGAGUAAAGCAGGAAGAAAAAUUGACCUUCUGGUACAACGUAAACAAAGGCUAUUCGCCGUGAGUAUACCCUUUUCUGUGUGGAGUAACUGGCAAAAGUUAACUUGUGUAACUAUUGGAAACCUCCAGGAGAAGGAGGGCGGCCCUACCCCUAUAAGAGUGUGGUGGGCGAGCCGUGAGAAGUCAAACUUCAAACAGCCGCCGCAACGAGACUUAUUGUGGUCGUAUUUCCCAUCGCCUUAUCGUAGCCCAAGCGCAGUGGAGGACACCGGGCGCUUCCCUUGUUGUGGUGCACUUAUAGUGUGGUGAGUGAGACUGUGUAAUAAAUCUUUUUCACGUUUGGAGUGGUGCUGUGUAUUGCUGUGGGUUGCUGUGUGUCUUGUAGACGAAGCCCCGCAUCAUCCAUUUUCUUCCACUGGGCAGAGGACGGAGAGGCCAACGACUACAGAAAUCACUGUUAUUAUACGUAGUGUGCUGUUUGGAGUACGAAGGGACACAGACUGAGAGCUGUCCGUGACCGUGACGGCCACCUGUGGAGAGAGAGAGAACGAGAGUGAAUCAUUGAAGAGCAAACUGUGAACGUGAUACCUACCCAGAAAGCUGUAAACAGCAGAGCCGGUGAGAAAUACUCGAAGUUUCAGUAACAGUGUCUUUGGGUCCUAGCGGCCACCUGUGGAGAGAGAACAGGACGAGAGUGAAUCAUCGAAGAGCAAACUGUGAACGUGAUACCUACCCAGAGAGCUGUAAGCAGCAGAACCGGUGAGCAAUACCCGAAGUCCAAGUAACAGUGUCAUUUGUGUCCUAGUGGCCGCCUGUGGAGAGCAAGGAGAAACAAUUGGAGAACAGACUGUGUAACGUGAUACCUACCCAGAGAGCUGCAAGCAGCAGAGCCGGUGAGAAACACCUCAAGUGCAAACUAACAGUGCUUUUGUGUCGCAGUGACUAUCUGUGGGGCACAAGGCGAACGUGGGCGGACGUACGACAGGGAACGUAAGGGCACGUGGGGCGAGGACCCCCUGCCGACCCGAGGAAAGAUACACCGACAGUGGAGAUCCUCCUUACCAGUCACACCAAAAUUAUUCUGCCUCCAGGACGGAAGAAGGAGGGCGCCACGGUUAGCAGGGUCCAGGCCGGAGCCUGACGUUUCCCUUUCUCCCCCGGCUUAUGGUGGUUGGCACCCCUGUUGCCCUUGGCCUGUCUGCCCGUGGCUGCAGUCUCCCUGGAGGGAGACGAAGAGACCUAUUAGUUUUAAAUUCCCCUUUCCCCCAAAUUCCCAGUUCUUUUAGAUAUUUAAACUAAAUAAAGCUUGUUUUAAAUUUUA